RNAcentral lists this transfer RNA (65 nucleotides) under Vibrio cholerae. RNAcentral's name for it is "tRNA-Arg". It matches the Rfam family "tRNA", at positions 5 to 66 of the family's 71-position model. Rfam says of the family: Transfer RNA (tRNA) molecules are approximately 80 nucleotides in length. Their secondary structure includes four short double-helical elements and three loops (D, anti-codon, and T loops). Lineage: Bacteria; Pseudomonadati; Pseudomonadota; Gammaproteobacteria; Vibrionales; Vibrionaceae. The record is from RNAcentral.
UCGUAGCUCAGCUGGAUAGAGUACCUGGCUACGAACCAGGCGGUCAGAGGUUCGAAUCCUCUCGA